GGACUACACGGGUUUCUAAUCCCGUUCGCUCCCCUAGCUUUCGCGCCUCAGCGUCAGAAGAGGUCCAGCACGUCGCUUUCGCCACCGGCGUUCCUUCCGAUAUCAACGCAUUUCACCGCUCCACCGGAAGUUCCACAUGCCCCUACCUCGCUCAAGACGGCCAGUAUCAAAGGCUAUUUUCCGGUUAAGCCGAAAGAUUUCACCCCUGACUUUGCCACCCGCCUACGCGCCCUUUAAGCCCAGUGAUUCCGAACAACGUUUGCACGGUUCGUCUUACCGCGGCUGCUGGCAC
RNAcentral lists this ribosomal RNA (292 nucleotides) under uncultured Planctomycetota bacterium. RNAcentral describes it as "uncultured planctomycete partial 16S ribosomal RNA". Lineage: Bacteria; Pseudomonadati; Planctomycetota. The record is from RNAcentral.